UACAGAGGGUGCGAGCGUUAAUCGGAAUUACUGGGCGUAAAGCGUGCGUAGACGGCUAUCUAAGUCGCGUGUGAAAGCCCCCGGCUCAACUGGGGAGGGUCACGCGAUACUGAUCGACUCGAAGGCAGGAGAGGGUAGUGGAAUUCCCGGUGUAGUGGUGAAAUGCGUAGAUAUCUGGAGGAACACCGGUGGCGAAGGCGGCAUCCUGGACCAACACUGACGCUGAGGAGCGAAAGCCAGGGGAGCAAACGGG
Molecule: ribosomal RNA, 253 nt
Filed under: uncultured bacterium
Lineage: Bacteria
Description: partial 16S ribosomal RNA
Rfam family: Bacterial small subunit ribosomal RNA
Source: RNAcentral